Long non-coding RNA from Triticum dicoccoides, 243 nucleotides. RefSeq lists it as uncharacterized. The transcript is spliced from 3 exons. Lineage: Eukaryota; Viridiplantae; Streptophyta; Magnoliopsida; Poales; Poaceae. The record is from RefSeq and is a predicted model, not a curated record.
AGAUCUAUGUUAGUGAUAUAUUGCCUUAUACAACAGCUUGUAUGUCAUGUAGGUUCCCCAUGCGGAGGUCUUUCAACAUGUUUCAUCUGUCCUCGAGGACUAUGGAUUUUGCCCUACUGGAGAUCCCAUGGACACUAUAAACCUCCAGCCUUAUAACUGCAGAAAGUCAAACGGAGAGUCAUGCAAAGGGCUUACAGAUGCAAACAUGGCAGUUAUGGAAUCGGCCAAUCUGGAUGCUGUAGA